UACGAAGGGGGCUAGCGUUGCUCGGAAUUACUGGGCGUAAAGGGCUCGUAGGCGGCCAACUAAGUCGGACGUGAAAUCCCUCGGCUUAACCGGGGAACUGCGUCCGAUACUGGAUGGCUUGAGUUUGGGAGAGGGAUGCGGAAUUCCAGGUGUAGCGGUGAAAUGCGUAGAUAUCUGGAGGAACACCGGUGGCGAAGGCGGCAUCCUGGACCAACACUGACGCUGAUGAGCGAAAGCCAGGGGAGCAAACGGG
RNAcentral lists this ribosomal RNA (253 nucleotides) under uncultured bacterium. RNAcentral's name for it is "partial 16S ribosomal RNA". It matches the Rfam family "Bacterial small subunit ribosomal RNA", at positions 524 to 776 of the family's 1533-position model. The record is from RNAcentral.